Molecule: long non-coding RNA, 268 nt
Organism: Oryza sativa Japonica Group (Japanese rice)
Lineage: Eukaryota; Viridiplantae; Streptophyta; Magnoliopsida; Poales; Poaceae
Source: RefSeq, a predicted model, not a curated record
UCUCCGGCCGCACGCCACCGCCGCUAGAGCCGCUGCCGCGCCGUGAAGCCGCCGUCGUCGCGCUCGCGGGUGCCGUCCGCUCCUCGGCCGCCGCUUGGUUGCCACCAAUCACCCCCGAAACCCCGUUUCCCUCACUCGCCGGUGUCGCCUCCGCCCGUCCGCCCCUCCUCGUCGCCGGGUCACCGCCGCCUUUCAUCCUCCGCCUUGGUCGCCGUGCUCGCCGGUUUCGGCCGUUUCGUCGAUCCGCAGUUUCUCGAAGACGUUGCUG